RNAcentral lists this ribosomal RNA (568 nucleotides) under uncultured bacterium. RNAcentral describes it as "bacterial SSU rRNA". It matches the Rfam family "Bacterial small subunit ribosomal RNA", at positions 91 to 645 of the family's 1533-position model. The record is from RNAcentral.
GCGAGCGGCGGAUGGGUGAGUAACACGUGGGGAACCUGCCCCUAAGUCUGGGAUACCAUUUGGAAACAGGUGCUAAUACCGGAUAAUAAAGCAGAUCGCAUGAUCAGCUUUUGAAAGGCGGCGUAAGCUGUCGCUAAGGGAUGGCCCCGCGGUGCAUUAGCUAGUUGGUAAGGUAACGGCUUACCAAGGCGACGAUGCAUAGCCGAGUUGAGAGACUGAUCGGCCACAUUGGGACUGAGACACGGCCCAAACUCCUACGGGAGGCAGCAGUAGGGAAUCUUCCACAAUGGACGCAAGUCUGAUGGAGCAACGCCGCGUGAGUGAAGAAGGUUUUCGGAUCGUAAAGCUCUGUUGUUGGUGAAGAAGGAUAGAGGUAGUAACUGGCCUUUAUUUGACGGUAAUCAACCAGAAAGUCACGGCUAACUACGUGCCAGCAGCCGCGGUAAUACGUAGGUGGCAAGCGUUGUCCGGAUUUAUUGGGCGUAAAGCGAGCGCAGGCGGAAAAAUAAGUCUAAUGUGAAAGCCCUCGGCUUAACCGAGGAACUGCAUCGGAAACUGUUUUUCUUGA